RNAcentral lists this transfer RNA (82 nucleotides) under Citrobacter koseri. RNAcentral describes it as "tRNA-OTHER". It matches the Rfam family "tRNA". Rfam says of the family: Transfer RNA (tRNA) molecules are approximately 80 nucleotides in length. Their secondary structure includes four short double-helical elements and three loops (D, anti-codon, and T loops). Lineage: Bacteria; Pseudomonadati; Pseudomonadota; Gammaproteobacteria; Enterobacterales; Enterobacteriaceae. The record is from RNAcentral.
GGCGCUGUACGCUUAACGGUAAAGUCGGUGUCAACCCCACAACAGGGGAGCACGUAUGCAGGUUCGAUUCCUGUCAGCGCCU